Molecule: ribosomal RNA, 513 nt
Filed under: Triticum aestivum (bread wheat)
Lineage: Eukaryota; Viridiplantae; Streptophyta; Magnoliopsida; Poales; Poaceae
Description: partial small subunit ribosomal RNA
Source: RNAcentral
AUGGUUUGGAAGAAGGAGGUGAGGAUCUACUCCCAAACCACUACCCUUGCGGGAAUUGAUGUGAAUGUGCAUGAAACUAAUGGAAACAUUUGGAGAUUGACUGGAAUAUACGGAGAGCCUAGCUGGGAGCAUAAGGAUCAUACUUUUCAGUACAUCCGAGAUCUGCAUGCACACUCUAGGCUACCGUGGGUAAUCGGUGAUUUCAACGAGAUCUUGUUGUCCUCUGAAAAGGAAGGAGGGGUUGCACGGCACCAAUCCCGUCUAGCAGCUUUCCAAGAUGCUUUGUCUGAAUGCUCUCUAGAGGAUAUGGGAUAUGUUGGUGAUAAAUUCACUUGGUUUAGAGGUGGAAUGAAGGAACGUUUAGACAGGGCUAUUACAAAUGCUGAGUGGAUGGGCAUGCACCCGUAUGCAGGCCUGUGUAAUCUAGAGAUGGGGAAAUCUGAUCACCGACCCAUCCUGCUAGAUACAAAAUAUCUUGCUAGAGUGGCAGAGAAUAGGCCUAAGUACAAGUGA